This 866-nucleotide ribosomal RNA is filed under the name uncultured bacterium. RNAcentral describes it as "bacterial SSU rRNA". It matches the Rfam family "Bacterial small subunit ribosomal RNA", at positions 8 to 916 of the family's 1533-position model. The record is from RNAcentral.
AGAGUUUGAUUCUGGCUCAGGAUGAACGCUGGCGGUCUGCUUAACACAUGCAAGUCGAACGGAGUGCUUCGGCACUUAGUGGCGGACGGGUGAGUAACGCGUGAGAAUCUGCCUACUGGAUGGGGAUAACGACUGGAAACGGUCGCUAAGACCCAAUGAGCCGAGAGGUAAAAGUAUUUAUAGCCAGUAGAUGAGCUCGCGUCAGAUUAGCUAGUUGGUGAGGUAACGGCUCACCAAGGCGAUGAUCUGUAGCUGGUCUGAGAGGAUGAUCAGCCACACUGGGACUGAGACACGGCCCAGACUCCUACGGGAGGCAGCAGUGGGGAAUUUUCCGCAAUGGGCGAAAGCCUGACGGAGCAAGACCGCGUGAGGGACGAAGGUCUGUGGAUUGUAAACCUCUUUUGAUUGGGAAGAAUGAUGACGGUACCAAUCGAAUCAGCCUCGGCUAACUCCGUGCCAGCAGCCGCGGUAAUACGGAGGAGGCAAGCGUUAUCCGGAAUUAUUGGGCGUAAAGCGUCCGCAGGUGGUUAUACAAGUCAGUUGUUAAAGCGUGGGGCUUAACCUCAUAUAGGCGAUUGAAACUGUAUGACUGGAGUAUGGUAGGGGUCAGGGGAAUUCCCAGUGUAGCGGUGAAAUGCGUAGAUAUUGGGAAGAACACCGGUGGCGAAAGCGCCUGACUGGGCCAUUACUGACACUGAGGGACGAAAGCUAGGGGAGCGAAAGGGAUUAGAUACCCCUGUAGUCUUAGCUGUAAACGAUGGAUACUAGGUGUUGACCGUAUCGACCCGGUCAGUGCCGUAGCUAACGCGUUAAGUAUCCCGCCUGGGGAGUACGCUCGCAAGAGUGAAACUCAAAUGAAUUGACGG